AGCUGUUCCCCUCUGGAGGUUUAAAUUACCUUCACAACUAUAAGGGCCCAAGUUCUUCUUGUGGCCCUCUUUUUUUCCUUGU
This 82-nucleotide small RNA is filed under the name Sinorhizobium medicae. RNAcentral describes it as "suhB". The stretch from base 1 to 73 matches the Rfam family "Alphaproteobacterial ar15", at positions 44 to 112 of the family's 112-position model. The record is from RNAcentral. RNAcentral also lists the same sequence under 1 other name. Lineage: Bacteria; Pseudomonadati; Pseudomonadota; Alphaproteobacteria; Hyphomicrobiales; Rhizobiaceae.